RNAcentral lists this ribosomal RNA (324 nucleotides) under uncultured bacterium. RNAcentral's name for it is "bacterial SSU rRNA". It matches the Rfam family "Bacterial small subunit ribosomal RNA", at positions 28 to 334 of the family's 1533-position model. The record is from RNAcentral.
GACGAACGCUGGCGGCGUGCUUAACACAUGCAAGUCGAACGGAGCACCCCUGAAGGAGUUUUCGGACAACGGAAGGGAAUGCUUAGUGGCGGACUGGUGAGUAACGCGUGAGGAACCUGCCUUUCGGAGGGGGACAACAGUUGGAAACGACUGCUAAUACCGCAUGAUGCAUUUGGGUCGCAUGGCCUGAAUGCCAAAGAUUUAUCGCCGAAAGAUGGCCUCGCGUCUGAUUAGCUAGUUGGUGGGGUAACGGCCCACCAAGGCGACGAUCAGUAGCCGGACUGAGAGGUUGGCCGGCCACAUUGGGACUGAGAUACGGCCCAG